UACGAAGGGGGCUAGCGUUGUUCGGAAUUACUGGGCGUAAAGCGCGUGUAGGCGGGUCUUUGAGUCAGGGGUGAAAUGCCAAGGCUCAACCUUGGAACUGCCUUUGAUGCUGGAGACCUUGAGUCCGGGAGAGGUGAGUGGAAUUGCGAGUGUAGAGGUGAAAUUCGUAGAUAUUCGCAAGAACACCAGUGGCGAAGGCGGCUCACUGGCCCGGAACUGACGCUGAGACGCGAAAGCGUGGGGAGCAAACAGG
This 253-nucleotide ribosomal RNA is filed under the name uncultured bacterium. RNAcentral's name for it is "partial 16S ribosomal RNA". It matches the Rfam family "Bacterial small subunit ribosomal RNA", at positions 524 to 776 of the family's 1533-position model. The record is from RNAcentral.